UGAGUAACCUGCCCUUAACUCUGGGAUAAGCCUGGGAAACUGGGUCUAAUACCGGAUAUGACUCCUCAUCGCAUGGUGGGGGGUGGAAAGCUUUUUGUGGUUUCGGAUGGACUCGCGGCCUAUCAGCUUGUUGGUGAGGUAAUGGCUCACCAAGGCGACGACGGGUAGCCGGCCUGAGAGGGUGACCGGCCACACUGGGACUGAGACACGGCCCAGACUCCUACGGGAGGCAG
Molecule: ribosomal RNA, 233 nt
Filed under: uncultured bacterium
Lineage: Bacteria
Description: partial 16S ribosomal RNA
Rfam family: Bacterial small subunit ribosomal RNA
Source: RNAcentral